UACGGGGGGGGCAAGCGUUGUUCGGAAUUAUUGGGCGUAAAGAGCUCGUAGGCGGUGUGUCGCGUCGGCCGUGAAAACCUGCAGCUUAACUGUGGGCUUGCGGUCGAUACGGGCAUCACUGGAGUUCGGCAGGGGAGACUGGAAUUCCUGGUGUAGCGGUGAAAUGCGCAGAUAUCAGGAGGAACACCGGUGGCGAAGGCGGGUCUCUGGGCCGAUACUGACGCUGAGGAGCGAAAGCGUGGGGAGCGAACAGG
This 254-nucleotide ribosomal RNA is filed under the name uncultured bacterium. RNAcentral describes it as "partial 16S ribosomal RNA". It matches the Rfam family "Bacterial small subunit ribosomal RNA", at positions 524 to 776 of the family's 1533-position model. The record is from RNAcentral.